UAUCGGUGGUGUCCACCUCUUCCCAUUCCGAACAGAGAAGUUAAGCCCACCAGAGCCGAUGGUACUGCGGUAACACGUGGGAGAGUAGGUCGGUGCCAAAU
RNAcentral lists this ribosomal RNA (101 nucleotides) under Pedobacter psychroterrae. The record is from RNAcentral. RNAcentral also lists the same sequence under 1 other name. Lineage: Bacteria; Pseudomonadati; Bacteroidota; Sphingobacteriia; Sphingobacteriales; Sphingobacteriaceae.